Molecule: long non-coding RNA, 507 nt
Organism: Mauremys mutica (yellowpond turtle)
Lineage: Eukaryota; Metazoa; Chordata; Testudines; Geoemydidae
Exons: 3
Source: RefSeq, a predicted model, not a curated record
UACUAUGUUCAAAUCCUGAUGAUGCAAGCUGCAGAUUUCUGGCUGCAAACUGAGUCCCAUUAUCUGCAAAAAGUUCCAUUCUGGGCCAACUGACUGUUGCCACAUUCAGUAACAGGCUGCUGCUGUUUUAUGACACACCAGACCAAGCCUUUGUAGGAUGUAGGUGUCAGUUAUGUUCUACUUGAGUGCUGUGGGAGAGAGAUUCUGGGGUCUGAGAGGCUGGAAGCUUCAGGCGGCAGAGUUGGGCACUGCAGUUCCUUUGCCUGCUGGCUCCAAUGCUGUUGGUAGAUGUGGUGGAGCAGGCCUGGGUUACUACACACCAUCUCUGAGGGGGCAGGGGGCCAGCAAGACCCCUCCUGACAGCUGCAUAGAAUCCCCCUCCUUGUCCUAUGACUUCAAGGGUGUUAAUGGGCCACUUCACUUGAAAUGGUCCCUUAGAAUAUGUGCUAACUGCUUAUGCUAAACUAUCUGUUCUAUCUUGUAUUUAGCUGUGAACUAUGAGUACCU